This 481-nucleotide ribosomal RNA is filed under the name uncultured bacterium. RNAcentral describes it as "partial 16S ribosomal RNA". It matches the Rfam family "Bacterial small subunit ribosomal RNA", at positions 28 to 507 of the family's 1533-position model. The record is from RNAcentral.
GAUGAACGCUGGCGGCGUGCUUAACACAUGCAGGUCGAACGAAGCACUUUAUUUGAUUUCCUUCGGGACUGAUUAUUUUGUGACUGAGUGGCGGACGGGUGAGUAACGCGUGGGUAACCUGCCUUGUACAGGGGGAUAACAGUUGGAAACGGCUGCUAAUACCGCAUAAGCGCACGGCAUCGCAUGAUGCAGUGUGAAAAACUCCGGUGGUAUAAGAUGGACCCGCGUUGGAUUAGCUAGUUGGUGAGGUAACGGCCCACCAAGGCGACGAUCCAUAGCCGACCUGGUAGGGUGACCGGCCACAUUUGGACUGCGACACGGCCCCCACUCCUACGCGAGGCAGCAGUGGGGAAUAUUGCACAAUGGGCGAAAGCCUGAUGCAGCGACGCCGCGUGAGCGAAGAAGUAUUUCGGUAUGUAAAGCUCUAUCAGCAGGGAAGAUAAUGACGGUACCUGACUAAGAAGCACCGGCUAACUACGUG